This 390-nucleotide ribosomal RNA is filed under the name uncultured bacterium. RNAcentral's name for it is "bacterial SSU rRNA". It matches the Rfam family "Bacterial small subunit ribosomal RNA", at positions 28 to 417 of the family's 1533-position model. The record is from RNAcentral.
GACGAACGCUGGCGGCGUGCUUAACACAUGCAAGUCGAGCGGUAAGGCCCUUUCGGGGGUACACGAGCGGCGAACGGGUGAGUAACACGUGGGUGACCUGCCCUUAGCUCUGGGAUAAGCCUGGGAAACUGGGUCUAAUACCGGAUAUGACUCCAUGACGCAUGUUGUGGGGUGGAAAGCCUUGUGCGGCUAGGGGAUGGGGCCCGCGGCCUAUCAGCUUGUUGGGUGGGGUGANGGCCUACCAAGGCGACGACGGGUAGCCGGCCUGAGAGGGCGACCGGCCACACUGGGACUGAGACACGGCCCAGACUCCUACGGGAGGCAGCAGUGGGGAAUCUUGCGCAAUGGGCGAAAGCCUGACGCAGCGACGCCGCGUGGGGAUGACGGCCU